RNAcentral lists this non-coding RNA (566 nucleotides) under Pongo abelii (Sumatran orangutan). The record is from RNAcentral. Lineage: Eukaryota; Metazoa; Chordata; Mammalia; Primates; Hominidae.
UUGAACUACAUAUUUAGAAGUAGAAAUCUUUUAAAUCUUUUAUACAUACCAGCUACAUUUUUAAAAAUUACUUUUGAAAAUAAAAUGUAAAACUUUCUUUCAUAAUCUUUUAUUAACCAACUUACCAAUAUCAAUAUUCUCUCUUCCUAGAGACACUAAUGAUAAGAAGAGGAUUUCUCUGUAUAAACUCCUAUAAAACAAAUAUGUUUUAAAAGUCAAUGGGCAAAUACCAUAAAAACACAGAUGCAUUUUUUUUUUAAUGGUGAAGACAUUAAGUUCUGUCAUCUAGUUAACAGUAAUAUACCUAUGUCAAUGUCCUGGUUUUAAUAUUACAUUACAGUUAGUUAUAUGAGGUGUCACAUUUGGAGGAAGCUGUGUGAAGGCCACAUUGAAUUCUGUACUAUUUUUGUAACUUCCUGCAGGUUUCUAUUCCAAAUUAAAGUUAAAACAUAGUUAAUGGGCAUAAAGCUUCACACUAGUAACAAUUAAAAAUGGCUUAACUUUAUUACAUUUCAACAAUACAUAACUGUUUUAACUCUAAUUUCUAAUUAAAAUUUACAAAAGCA